Cervus elaphus (red deer) is the source of this 333-nucleotide long non-coding RNA. RefSeq lists it as uncharacterized. The transcript is spliced from 3 exons. The record is from RefSeq and is a predicted model, not a curated record. NCBI's taxonomy places the organism in Eukaryota, Metazoa, Chordata, Mammalia, Artiodactyla, Cervidae.
CUCUAAACUCCAGAUGCCAGCCGCUGUGCCUUCUAGGGGACCUGCAUCUCUGUCUGGGGUUCAACUCAAGAUAAGUGGGAGCUGAGAAUACAGGGAGGUUUUGAAUUCCUGCUGGAACCACAACUCUGGGAGCUUGCUUCUCAACAACAGAAGCCUCAGAUGGUUUCAAGGAAAAUACCAAGGUCAGAAAUGAAAAGGUACCUUCCAUUCCAGCUGGAUAUGGCAUUUGGCUUAUCUUAUUAAGGGUGAUAUUUUCAAGGAUCACGACACAAAACUGACAAAACAAUGCCAAACUGGGUCCCAGGAUUUUGAUUUUUGGCAUAUUUGCAGGGA